UGAUAUUCUUCAUGAACGGCGUCGUGGAUUCGGCGUGAACGAAGACGGUUCGUGGAUUCGGAUCGUGAGCUCGUGGAUUCGAGUGGGCGUCGUGGAUUCGACGUGAUCGAGGCUUCGUGGAUUCGAAGUGGUGACGUUUUGUGGAUUCGGGACGUGGCGUUCGUGGAUUCGGACGUGGGGCGUGGACAACCCGUUGGUGUGCGCGAGAUCCGGAGAAGAUAGAAGAGAGGUUUGAGUCCGUGGAUUCAGUAAAACACCUUGUAAUCUUUUAGUCUUAGUGGAUUGUUAUCGCGUGUUGGUCCCGUGGGUUUUUUACUCCGAGUUUGGAGUUUUUUCACGUAAAUCUCGGUGUGCUUUUUAUUUUCCGCAUUUAUUUUUAUUGCAUCGAGAUUUGUGGUUUUUUGGCCUUUCACCUAUUCACCCCCCUUUAGGUGAUAGAUACAAUCUAGAUAGAUCCUUGGGCUCCUCAAAACUUUCAAUUGGUAUCAGAGCGGGAUCUAGAUAUAUUGUUAUCUAAUGGCUGAAGGUGGUAACAUUAAUCGACCUCCGCUCUUCGACGGCACGAAUUAUACCUAUUGGAAAGUUCGCAUGAGAGCUUUUCUAAUUGCUAUCGAUGAGCGGGUUUGGCAAUCAAUUGAAUUUGGGUGGAAACAUCCGCUAGAAAAGGUCGAUAAUGUUGAAAAGCCAAAACCACGGAACAAGUGGACAAAAGAAGAAAACGAGACAUCUUCGUUUAACGGCAAGGGCAUAAACGCUUUAUUCAAUGCCUUAUCGCAAACGGAGUUUACUCGUGUUUCGGCUUGUGAAACGGCAAAGGAAAUUUGGGAUACUCUACAAGUUACGCAUGAAGGAACAAGCUUAGUAAAGGUCCAAAAAUUGCAAAUGCUAACUAGCAAGUUUGAUUCAAUUUCUAUGGACGAAAAUGAGACCUUUACCGAGUACUAUACACGUCUACAAGAUGUUGUGAACACAUGUGCUAACUUGGGAGAGAAAAUUCCGGAUUCAAAGGUUGUUAGGAAAAUCCUUCGCACUCUUCCGGAACGUUUUCGGGCUAAAGUAGCCGCGAUCGAAACGGUCAAGCAUCCGGACGAGAUGAAGGUCGAAGAAUUAGUAGGUGCUUUGCAAACUUAUGAGAUGACUUUUCCUACUAAUCAAUCUUCUUCCAAUUCUUCUUCUAAAAGCACAGGUGUUGCAUUGAAAUCUACAAAGGAGAAGGACGAAGACUCGAGUUCCGAUGAUGAUUUAUCAAUUGCGGACUUUGAACAACAAUUGGCGCUUCUCACGAAGAAGUUUCGUCGGAAUUUUCGAAAGAAGAAUAGAUCGAACAAGGCUUCAGCGUCUAAAUCUUUUUCGUCUACAUCUAAGGAGAAGAAGCGUGCAAAGGCUUCGAAAGAAAAGGAUGUCUUUGAAGGCGAGAUCCAAUGCUUCAAGUGCAAAGGUUACGGCCACAUUGCGACGGAUUGUCCUUCAAAGAGGACAUCUAGACAAAAGGCUAUGCAAGCAAAGACGUGGGAUGAUUCAACAUCAAGUGAAUCAUCGUCAAGUGACGAAGAAAAGGAUGAUCAAAUUGCUUUAUUUGCUAAUGCUCCCUCGUCGAAUGUUGUGUGUUUAUCCUCUGUUGCUACUAACUCCAAUAUUUCUCUUUCUUCACAUGAUUCAUCGAGCAACAAUGGCGAAAGUGAAGAGGAAUCAAACGACGACGACAUAGCGGAAGCGUACAAUCAACUUCUUAUUGAAUCAAAGAAGAUGGCUAAACUCAACAAGAAGUUGAGACGUCGUUUGUUGGAACUUGAGGAGGAAAACAACAAUGUAAAGAAUUUGAAUAAGGUUCUUGUGGAGGAAAGGGAUUCAAGUUUGAAGAUUAAUUCGGACCUCCAAGAGAAGCUUAGUGAUGCGGAAUCAACGAUCAAAUCCUCUAAUGACAAGAUUGGACUUUUGGAGCAUCAAUUUCAUGAAUCGCACAAGUCCAAUCAAGUCUUGAUCUGUCAACUCCCAAUCCAUCUUCACGAUUUCUUCUGGGAUCAAAGAAGUUGACAAAAUGUUGGAUUGGGCUCAAACGAGCAAAUUGGGUCUUGGAUUGAAGGACAUAUGUUUGAGAGGAUCAAACUGGCGACCAUCUAAGUCUCACUAACUUUCAAAAGCGCACAGUGUGUCAUCGAUGUGGCCAUUCGAAGGAACGAUGCAAAAGGAAUUGCCCAACAAAAAUGGCAAGAGUCACCAAUGGCAAUCAAAAACAUUCAUCAUGGCUUCAUCUAGCAAGUCGACUUCCCCCGCGGAAUCAAAAGAAAAAUCAAGUGGUCGGCUAUUCUCAAAAGAACCGGUUUUCUAGCGCACACGUCAACCGUCAAGAUUUAUACAAACGGAUGUCUUAAUCCUCAACGACUAAAUUCAAUGAAGCCUCAACGAAGAAACCACAAACGGUUGAUAAAAAAUCUUAAGCAACGGCACCAAACGUCGACAAGCCGACGAAAACCAAAGACCGACAAGUUUGGAUCCGGAAGAGUGAUCUUCCUUGGCAUAAUCCUCGUCUUUAGUCAUUUGAUCUUUGUGUAAUGCCGUGUGGAUUGGUGUUUGUUGAAUAAUUUUAUUCAUUUCAUUACAUGUUAAAUGAUUUUUGGAGUUUUUGCUUUGAAUUUUGUUUAUUUAAAAUCAUUUUGAGGAAAAGGGUGUUUUGGGAUUCAAAUUUUCGAGAAAGGAUGAUGAUGAGGAAUCUUUUGGAGAGAGAAUAUUCUUUAAUUGUCGCGUAAACGGUAAUUUACCUUCACAAUCAUAUAAAUGUUAAAUCAUAUAUGCUUCAUUUUUACUCCAAUUUUUAUUCAUUUUGACCGAUAAAAUUAUAUAUGAUUGCUGUAAUGCAUAAAUUCAUCAAAUUUUCUGAAAUCAAAUUUGAUUUUUUGGUGAUUAAUUUCAUCUGGUUGUGACGUGUUGGAUAUGAUGAAUGGGUAUUCCUAAUUGACUAAAAUUCGUCAAAAUUGUAUUUUCAUUGUGAGAUUGUCUAAUUUAUGGGUGAGUUUGAAAUUGUUUAAAAUAAAAAAGGAGAAAAAAAAACUCCUAGGGUUUAAAAGACUGGGUGGAAAAGGUUACAUCAAAAGGAGUGUGAAAACUACCACCAACUCGUAGGAAAGAGUACCACCCCGGUCGUCCGGAAGAUGUGUGAAGUCCAGCAAUGAAAUUAAUUGGAUAAGCGAAACGUUGGAAAAAUUAAAUAUUUAGAAUUUCGGAGUAAUAAGGUGCUAGUUUUGAAAAAGAUGCAUCAAAGAGCAGCCCUGGUAAUCUAUUUUAAGUUAAUCUCUAUUUUGAAAUGUAGUUGCGACAUUCGACAGCGAUGUGCAAUUUUGUCUUUGAAUUCUAAAAUCAUUUUCAUCAACUUACAUCUGGAUGGUUUUUGGUAUUAAAUUAUUUUGAUUUUGAAAUUUUGAUGCUUUGAUGUUGUUGUGAAAUUUAUAUAUUAUUCAUUCAAUGAUUUUUGGAGAAAGCCUUACUAUAUGAUUUAAUUUAAUGUGAUGGAUUUUUAAAGCAAAUUUUCGAAAUCUGAGCAUCGUUCAUUGGCUUUAGUCUCUCUCCUUCUCUAGUUUGCCUUUUAGAUCGAUGAUGUUUUAGUUUCAGUUUUGCUUGUUUUUUUUGGCCUGUAACUAUGACUGACUACGCUUUACAUCCUUUUUUCUAAGUAUGUUAUUCUUCUCUAUUUGAUUUCUUUUUAGGCAUUUUUACGAAAAGGGGAGAGAGCGUAGAUGAAGGGGGGGAGCAUGGCAUAGAACAAGUGCAGUUGAACUGAAGCAGAGGAUGAUGAUGUUCAGAACAAAGGGGGAGAUGCUGAGAACAAAGGGUGGCGAGAGGUAUUAAGAAUUUAGUUGCUCAAUUCAUUUUGAAUGAAUGUUCAAGACUCCUAGUUGCGGUUGCUAAGUUCUAUGAGUACUUUUUAGGAGUUUUGUAUGUAAUUUUGAGUUUUCAGAAUUGAUAUUGGAUUACAACGAGGACUAGCAGCCAACGCGCGCGGGUUCGAUGUUUGUGAUGGACAUUGAACUUCCGUUUAUUUUUACAUUGUCAUUUGUGAGUUUGUGUGUGUUUUGUCAGCGAUUUGCCAAAGGGGAGAUUUUUAGUCCUAUAGUGUUGGCAAGUUUCGUGGGUCGAGUCGAGUCUUGAAGAGUUCGGAGCACGGAGUAUUGAAAAUCCGAAGAAUCCAAGACUAUCGAAGAAUCGGAACAGGACGCAAAACACCAAAACAUUGAAUCACGAUGCGUUAGGUAAGUUUUAAAUCUUGUUUUUGGAUUCUAUACUUAUUUAGAAAUUUUAGAAUCAUUAUUUCAAGUUGUAAUGUCAUUAGAAAGUUUCUCGGAGUUGUAAAAUACGCGAAACAAUAGAUUUCAGGCGAAAAUUGCAUUGCUGUAGGCCGGUACAAGGGUUUCUGUCCAGGGUCAGCCAUAUCAACGUUGCGCAUGAAGUUUGAUGUUGUUCGGUACAAAGGUUUUCUGUCCAGAGGUACAGGGCCUAUCAACGUGUAGCCAGAAAGUUUAUGCGUUGUUCCGGUACAGCACUUCAUGCUGUACCGGUACAAGCCCUUUGUUCCGGAAAGCUGAAGCUAUCCAGGUAGGAGCUUCGCAGAAAAAAUCUUCUCAUGUUGUACCUGGAAACAUUCCUUGUUCGGUACAAGUGCUGUUUUGGAAGAAACUUUCUAAUUCGACUCCAAUUGAUUCUAAAGUCUAUAACAUAAGCUAAUUGGGCUUCUCUAACACAUCAAGGAUCAUAAGAAUACAUGUUUGAGAAACCCUAGUGGCUUGAUUUCAUCUAAACCUAUUUUCUACAAAAAGCCUCUUUUAGAUCAAAUCGAGAUAUUCAAAUUUGAUAUUAAUAUGUCGAUUUGAUCUCCGCUUUGCUUGGAGUUCUAUCCUGGUUUUCUACAAUACUCCAAAGCGAAGGAUUCACCAUAUUCAUGAUAUUCUUCAUGAACGGCGCAGCGUCGUGGAUUCGGCGUGAACGAAGACGCGUUUCGUGGAUUGGAUCGUGAGCUCGUGGAUUCGAUGGGCGUCGUGGAUUCGACGUGAUCGAGGCUUCGUGGAUUCGAAGUGGUGACGUUUCUGUGGAUAUCGGGACGUGCGUUCGUGGAUUCGACGUGGGGCGUGGACAACCGUUGGUGUGCGCGAGAUCCGGAGAAGAUAGAAGAGAGUUUGAGUCCGUGGAUUCAGUAAAACACCUUGUAAUCUUUUAUUCUU
This 5210-nucleotide long non-coding RNA is filed under the name Ananas comosus (pineapple). RNAcentral's name for it is "long non-coding RNA (ACOM_LNC010277)". Lineage: Eukaryota; Viridiplantae; Streptophyta; Magnoliopsida; Poales; Bromeliaceae. The record is from RNAcentral.